RNAcentral lists this ribosomal RNA (906 nucleotides) under uncultured marine bacterium. RNAcentral's name for it is "bacterial SSU rRNA". It matches the Rfam family "Bacterial small subunit ribosomal RNA", at positions 8 to 916 of the family's 1533-position model. The record is from RNAcentral.
AGAGUUUGAUCCUGGCUCAGGAUGAACGCUAGCGGCAGGCCUAACACAUGCAAGUCGAGGGGUAUAUGGUGCUUGCACCAUAGAGACCGGCGCACGGGUGCGUAACGCGUAUGCAAUCUGCCUUGUACAGGGGAAUAGCCCAGGGAAACUUGGAUUAAUGCCCCAUAGUAUUAUUUUGUAGCAUUACAUUAUAAUUAAAGAUUUAUCGGUACAAGAUGAGCAUGCGUCCCAUUAGUUAGUUGGUAAGGUAACGGCUUACCAAGACAGCGAUGGGUAGGGGCCCUGAGAGGGGGAUCCCCCACACUGGUACUGAGACACGGACCAGACUCCUACGGGAGGCAGCAGUGAGGAAUAUUGGACAAUGGGCGGAAGCCUGAUCCAGCCAUGCCGCGUGCAGGAAGACGGCCCUAUGGGUUGUAAACUGCUUUUGUACGGGAAGAAACACCCCCACGUGUGGGGACUUGACGGUACCGUAAGAAUAAGCAUCGGCUAACUCCGUGCCAGCAGCCGCGGUAAUACGGAGGAUCCAAGCGUUAUCCGGAAUCAUUGGGUUUAAAGGGUCCGUAGGCGGCCUUAUAAGUCAGUGGUGAAAUCUCCUAGCUCAACUAGGAAACUGCCAUUGAUACUGUAGGGCUUGAAUGUUUGUGAAGUAACUAGAAUAUGUAGUGUAGCGGUGAAAUGCUUAGAUAUUACAUGGAAUACCAAUUGCGAAGGCAGGUUACUAACAGAUUAUUGACGCUGAUGGACGAAAGCGUGGGGAGCGAACAGGAUUAGAUACCCUGGGUAGUCCACGCCGUAAACGAUGGAUACUAGCUGUUCGGUGCAAACUGAGUGGCUAAGCGAAAGUGAUAAGUAUCCCACCUGGGGAGUACGCACGCAAGUGUGAAACUCAAAGGAAAUUGACGG